This 1297-nucleotide ribosomal RNA is filed under the name metagenome. RNAcentral's name for it is "bacterial LSU rRNA". It matches the Rfam family "Bacterial large subunit ribosomal RNA", at positions 1564 to 2869 of the family's 2925-position model. The record is from RNAcentral.
UGAAUACGAGAUGCUACGGCGUCGAAGCAGUGUAUGUCAGACUUCCAAGAAAAGCUCGCAAUGUCAUAAAUAAAGAAUGCCUGUACCAUAACCGACACAGGUGGGUAGGUAGAGUAUACUAAGGGGCGCGAGAUAACUCUCUCUAAGGAACUCGGCAAAAUAACUCCGUAACUUCGGGAGAAGGAGUGCCUUCUUUAAGAAGGUUGCAAUAACAAGAUCCAAGCAACUGUUUAUCAAAAACACAGGUCUCCGCUAAGUCGUAAGACGAUGUAUGGGGGCUGACGCCUGCCCAGUGCCAGAAGGUUAAAGAAGUUGGUUAGCUUUUGCGAAGCUGAUGACUGAAGCCCUGGUGAACGGCGGCCGUAACGAUAACGGUCCUAAGGUAGCGAAAUUCCUUGUCGGGUAAGUUCCGACCCGCACGAAAGGCGUAAUGAUUUGGAUACUGUCUCGGAGAGGGACUCGGUGAAAUAGACUUGUCUGUGAAGAUGCGGACUACCUGCACCAGGACAGAAAGACCCUAUGAAGCUUUACUGUAACUUGAAAUCGAAAUUGGACUUUAUUUGCGCAGUAUAGGUGGAAGGCGUUGAAAGUAAUCUUGCGGGAUUAGUGGAGCCAUCAGUGAGAUACCACUCCUAUAAUGUUAGAUUUCUAACUUUGGAUCAUGAUCUGGUCAAAGAACAGUUUCAGGCGGGCAGUUUGACUGGGGCGGUCGCCUCCCAAAUGGUAACGGAGGCGUACAAAGGUUUCCUCUGAACGGGUAGAAAUCGUAUCUAGAGUGUAAAGGCAUAAGGAAGCUUGACUGUGAGACCUACAAGUCGAGCAGGGACGAAAGUCGGUCUUAGUGAUCUGACGGUGCUGAGUGGAAAGGCCGUCACUCAACGGAUAAAAGUUACUCUAGGAUAACAGGCUGAUCUCCCCCAAGAGUUCACAUCGACGGGGAGGUUUGGCACCUCGAUGUCGGCUCAUCGCAUCCUGGGGCGGUAGUACGUCCCAAGGGUUGGGCUGUUCGCCCAUGAAAGCGGUACGCGAGCUGGGUUCAGAACGUCGUGAGACAGUUCGGUCCAUAUCCGGUGUAGGCGUUAGAAUAUUGAGAGGAGCCUUCUUUAGUACGAGAGGACCGAGAAGGACAUACCUCAGGUGUACCAGUUAUCGUGCCAACGGUAAACGCUGGGUAGCUAUGUAUGGAGAGGAUAACCGCUGAAAGCAUCUAAGUGGGAAGCCCACCUCAAGAUGAUUGCUCUCACAGGGUUGACCUGGUAAGGUCACGGGAAGACCACCCGUUGAUAGGCACUCGGUG